GCGCCAGCGAUGGCCGCUUGCGAGGUGCUGCAUGGUUGUCGUCAGCUCGUGCCGUGAGGUGUCGGGUUAAGUCCCAUAACGAGCGCAACCCCUACUGCUAGUUGCCAGCGGGUCAUGCCGGGGACGUCUAGCGGAACUGCCAGCGUAAGCUGCGAGGAAGGUGGGGAUGACGUCAAUCAGCACGGCCCUUACGUCCAGGGCUACACACGUGUUACAAUGGCCGGUACAGAGGGCAGCCACCCCGUGAGGGGGCGCGAAUCCCGAAAGCCGGUCCCAGUUCGGAUCGGAGUCUGCAACCCGACUCCGUGAAGCUGGAUUCGCUAGUAAUCGCGCAUCAGCCACGGCGCGGUGAAUACGUUCCCGGGCCUU
RNAcentral lists this ribosomal RNA (369 nucleotides) under uncultured Rikenellaceae bacterium. Its description in RNAcentral is "bacterial SSU rRNA". It matches the Rfam family "Bacterial small subunit ribosomal RNA", at positions 1013 to 1382 of the family's 1533-position model. The record is from RNAcentral. Lineage: Bacteria; Pseudomonadati; Bacteroidota; Bacteroidia; Bacteroidales; Rikenellaceae.